Molecule: long non-coding RNA, 489 nt
Filed under: Gossypium barbadense (sea-island cotton)
Lineage: Eukaryota; Viridiplantae; Streptophyta; Magnoliopsida; Malvales; Malvaceae
Description: long non-coding RNA (GBAR_LNC005126)
Source: RNAcentral
GUGCGUUAGGAGCAAUAGAGCUUCAUAAGAAAUCAUCCUUGGAUAAGUCAAAUAUCUGAAAGAUGUGAGGUUUGAAAAGAAUAGAGGUAGGUAGAGAAGAUUUGGAGCUCCUACUUCAAUAAAAUAAAGAAAACAAUAAUGAUGAUGAAGAGAGGAGAAUGAUAGUAAUUAUCAUGUUUAGGUCAAGUAAACAAGUAUUACUGCUGCAAAGAUGGACACAUUAUUCACACGCGGGUUUGAAAUUAUUCUACAAUGUGAUACAUGUAUUCUUCCCAAUAAUAUUGUUAAAUCCUUUCCCAACACUGCUAUUCUACAAUACAAUACUCGUGCAUUUUUAUUUUAACAAAAUCACAAAUCUUCUCGUUUAACAAUGUUCUUGAUUCAAACCCACCGUCAGGAUUACAAUCACCAAAAAAUUUAUUGUUGCUAACCAGAAUAUAUCCUUAAUCAUAAUUUAUAUAAAAUAUAAGAUAGAUUUGAAAAAUGACA